This 29-nucleotide non-coding RNA is filed under the name Rattus norvegicus (Norway rat). Lineage: Eukaryota; Metazoa; Chordata; Mammalia; Rodentia; Muridae. The record is from RNAcentral.
UCCUGCUUCACCAGAGCUUUCACAGUGAC